Molecule: non-coding RNA, 63 nt
Organism: Rattus norvegicus (Norway rat)
Lineage: Eukaryota; Metazoa; Chordata; Mammalia; Rodentia; Muridae
Source: Rfam
GGGGAUUUAGCUCAGUGGUAGAGCGUUUGCCUAGCAAGCGCAAGGCCCUGGGUUCAGUCCCCA